GGGAGGUAGUGACAAUAAAUAACAAUACGGGGCUCUUUAGGGUCUCGUAAUUGGAAUGAGUACAAUUUAAAUCCCUUAACGAGGAACAAUUGGAGGGCAAGUCUGGUGCCAGCAGCCGCGGUAAUUCCAGCUCCAAUAGCGUAUAUUAAAGUUGUUACAGUUAAAAAGCUCGUAGUUGAAUUUUGGGAUUGACGUGUGAUGGUCAUGCCUUAAGGGGUAUGAACUGUUGCUGUUGAUUUCUCACCUUCUGGAGAAACUUGAUGUCCUUAGUUUGGGUGUCUUGCGGAUCCAGGACCUUUACCUUGAAAAAAUUAGAGUGUUUAAAGCAGGCAUUUUUGCUCGAAUACAUUAGCAUGGAAUAAUAGAAUAGGACGGCAUGGUUCUAUUUUGUUGGUUUCUAGGAUCACCGUAAUGAUUAAUAGGGAUAGUUGGG
Molecule: ribosomal RNA, 433 nt
Filed under: uncultured Entrophosporaceae
Lineage: Eukaryota; Fungi; Glomeromycota; Glomeromycetes; Entrophosporales; Entrophosporaceae
Description: SSU rRNA
Rfam family: Eukaryotic small subunit ribosomal RNA
Source: RNAcentral